CGGCCACGGUACCCUAACCGUGCGAAGGUAGCAUAAUCACUUGUUCUUUAAAUGGGGACUUGUAUCAACGGCACCACGAGGGCUCUACUGUCUCCUUUCUCUAAUCAGUGAAACUAAUCUCCCCGUGAAGAAGCGGGGAUACCACCAUAAGACGAGAAGACCCCAUGGAGCUUUAAACCCAACUACACCCCCACUUUCCAUACCCACUCAACCAACAGGGCCCUGUACACUUGGUUUUAGGUUGGGGUGACCGCGGAGCAAAAUCAAACCUCCACAAUGAACGAGAAUAAUCUCUUAUCUAAGAGCCACACCUCUAAGAAUUAGCACACUAACAUAAAAUGAUCCGAUAAUCGAUCAACGAACCAAGUUACCCUGGGG
Molecule: ribosomal RNA, 378 nt
Filed under: Mantidactylus radaka
Lineage: Eukaryota; Metazoa; Chordata; Amphibia; Anura; Mantellidae
Description: partial large subunit ribosomal RNA
Rfam family: Bacterial large subunit ribosomal RNA
Source: RNAcentral